AACGAACGCUGGCGGCAUGCCUAACACAUGCAAGUCGAACGAGACCUUCGGGUCUAGUGGCGCACGGGUGCGUAACGCGUGGGAACCUGCCCUUAGGUUCGGAAUAACUCCCCGAAAGGGGUGCUAAUACCGGUUAAUGUCUUCGGACCAAAGAUUUAUCGCCUUUGGAUGGGCCCGCGUUGGAUUAGCUAGUUGGUAGGGUAAAAGCCUACCAAGGCGACGAUCCAUAGCUGGUCUGAGAGGAUGAUCAGCCACACUGGGACUGAGACACGGCCCAGACUCCUACGGGAGGCAGCAGUGGGGAAUAUUGGACAAUGGGCGAAAGCCUGAUACAGCAAUGCCGCGUGAGUGAUGAAGGCCUUAGGGUUGUAAAGCUCUUUUACCCGGGAUGAUAAUGACAGUACCGGGAGAAUAAGCACCGGCUAACUCCGUG
RNAcentral lists this ribosomal RNA (433 nucleotides) under uncultured bacterium. RNAcentral describes it as "partial 16S ribosomal RNA". It matches the Rfam family "Bacterial small subunit ribosomal RNA", at positions 29 to 507 of the family's 1533-position model. The record is from RNAcentral.